RNAcentral lists this ribosomal RNA (162 nucleotides) under uncultured bacterium. RNAcentral's name for it is "partial 16S ribosomal RNA". It matches the Rfam family "Bacterial small subunit ribosomal RNA", at positions 356 to 509 of the family's 1533-position model. The record is from RNAcentral.
UAGGGAAUUUCGUCAAUGGGCGCAAGCCUGAACGAGCAAUGCCGCGUGAACGAGGAAGGUCUUCGGAUCGUAAAGUUCUGUUGAAGGGGAAAAAGAGCGGAGAGAGGAAAUGCUUUCUGAUUGAUAUUACCCUUCGAGGAAGUCACGGCUAACUACGUCGCC